Molecule: ribosomal RNA, 253 nt
Filed under: uncultured bacterium
Lineage: Bacteria
Description: partial 16S ribosomal RNA
Rfam family: Bacterial small subunit ribosomal RNA
Source: RNAcentral
UACGUAGGGUGCAAGCGUUGUCCGGAAUUAUUGGGCGUAAAGAGCUCGUAGGCGGUCUGUCGCGUCGGCUGUGAAAACUCGGGGCUUAACCCCGGGCCUGCAGUGGGUACGGGCAGACUAGAGUGCGGUAGGGGAGACUGGAAUUCCUGGUGUAGCGGUGAAAUGCGCAGAUAUCAGGAGGAACACCGGUGGCGAAGGCGGGUCUCUGGGCCGUAACUGACGCUGAGGAGCGAAAGCAUGGGGAGCGAACAGG